Molecule: ribosomal RNA, 796 nt
Filed under: uncultured bacterium
Lineage: Bacteria
Description: bacterial SSU rRNA
Rfam family: Bacterial small subunit ribosomal RNA
Source: RNAcentral
GAGGGAAGCUUGCUUUCCUUGCCGGCGACCGGCGCACGGGUGAGUAACACGUAUGCAACCUGCCCUCUUCAGGGGGACAACCUUCCGAAAGGGAGGCUAAUCCCGCGUAUAUCGGUUUCGGGCAUCCGUUAUCGAGGAAAGAUUCAUCGGAAGAGGAUGGGCAUGCGGCGCAUUAGCUUGACGGCGGGGUAACGGCCCACCGUGGCGACGAUGCGUAGGGGUUCUGAGAGGAAGGUCCCCCACACUGGUACUGAGACACGGACCAGACUCCUACGGGAGGCAGCAGUGAGGAAUAUUGGUCAAUGGGAGAGAUCCUGAACCAGCCAAGCCGCGUGAGGGAAGACGGCCCUAUGGGUUGUAAACCUCUUUUGUCGGAGAACAAAACCCGGGACGUGUCCCGGACUGCGUGUAUCCGAAGAAAAAGCAUCGGCUAACUCCGUGCCAGCAGCCGCGGUAAUACGGAGGAUGCGAGCGUUAUCCGGAUUUAUUGGGUUUAAAGGGUGCGUAGGCGGAAUGCCAAGUCAGCGGUAAAAUCGCGGGGCUCAACCUCGCUCCGCCGUUGAAACUGGCGUUCUUGAGUGGGCGAGAAGUAUGCGGAAUGCGUGGUGUAGCGGUGAAAUGCAUAGAUAUCACGCAGAACUCCGAUUGCGAAGGCAGCAUACCGGCGCCCAACUGACGCUGAAGCACGAAAGCGUGGGUAUCGAACAGGAUUAGAUACCCUAGUAGUCCACGCAGUAAACGAUGAAUACUAGCUGUUCGGGGCAAAUGAGCCUUGAGUGGCACAGCGAAAGCGUUA